UGACAUUGUUUCAUGAUAUGACUCAUCGUGAAAGCAAAUGCCAUGUUGAUGACAUGAUGACAAAGUCCCAAGUAGAAGAGGGGCAUCCGGUGGAAUUGAUCCAGUGGUUUGACAGGUAGAGAUAACUCAUACCGUUGAGUUCGAAUCAGUGCACUUAUGGAGUGUUGUCCGGUAAGCUGCCGAGGCUUAUUAUGAGCGGAUAAGAGGAAUCGAGGUCGAUCCUGCAAAAAAAAAA
This 235-nucleotide long non-coding RNA is filed under the name Lathyrus oleraceus (garden pea). RNAcentral describes it as "Pisum sativum (pea) long non-coding RNA (PSAT_LNC000011)". Lineage: Eukaryota; Viridiplantae; Streptophyta; Magnoliopsida; Fabales; Fabaceae. The record is from RNAcentral.